Molecule: long non-coding RNA, 1165 nt
Filed under: Gallus gallus (chicken)
Lineage: Eukaryota; Metazoa; Chordata; Aves; Galliformes; Phasianidae
Description: lncRNA (ENSGALG00010019393.1)
Source: RNAcentral
AACGUUCUGUUAACACAAUAGAUGCCUCUUUGCUAUCCUCACCACCGCCACAAUUGUCGACCGCAGUGAGAGAAGGCAGCUUUCUAAAUGCGAGGCUGACCCUCAGCAUAUCUCCCUGGUUUCCUCUAAGCACAGAGACAGGACACACCUGGUGACAGCUCUUGAUGACAAUCUUCACCUCCCACCAGUCCAGCUCUGCAGUCUGCUGCACAGUGUUGUACACCACGCCCACUGCAUGGCUGAUGUAGUGAGGAGACCCUGCAAAAGCAUGGAGGGGCUGAGAGGAGCAUGGAUUUCCACUGCAGGAGCCAUCAACCACAGCUUCGGCAGCAGCAAGAGCCAAGGCCUGAGCAGCUCCUGACAGAGCUGUGGGGCUGGUGUGAGGAGGUCCCCACUUCUUCCUGGCCACCUCAAGCUGUGCCAGGGCUUGCAUCUGAGCAACUCCCCAAAUCCUCUAGCAGUGCUUUGUACAAGGCUUUCAUCCACCUCAUCUGUAGCCCUUCUCAGACUCAUUUCCAGGACUGCUUAGAAAAAAAGCCCUAGCCAGAGCAAAGGAAGGAUGGCACAGCACAGGAGCCAUCUCUGGUGACUGUUAGGUUUGGGAUAGCAGCACAGGAAUGAGGAGGGCUCCCCAUCCUGCAGUGCAGUGUGUGCAUUCCAAUGGUGUGCCUUUUAGGGCUGAAAGGCCCUAAAAUCUGUGAAGACCUUUUUGCAGAGCUGUGGGACAAUGUGCUGUUUUGACAUAGUUGUAUCCAUCAGCAAAGCUGCAGAGCAGUGAGCCUCUGCAUGUGGGGUUCUCUCACUCGGGCAGGCAGCUGCAGAGGCAGAGCUGCAUAAACACUGAUGGGAAAGGCUGCGUGGGUAAGGAGACCAAGAGCAUGAGAGAUCAGAAGCCUUCUGUCUCAGUACUUUGUGUUUCUUGCACCCUUUGUGCAAAACAGAGCUAAUAGCACCAGUCCUGCCUAAUGCUGAGCACAUUAAAGGUCACUGGGUGCUCAAACAAUUCAUCAGGGAUGUUACAUAAAUACACAAGUAAGUCUGUACUUCAUCUCACACCUCAAGAGGGUCCCAAGCUGUUGUAUGGGGAGUUAGUAACAGUGUGGGCUGUAAAGCUGCCCACAGCACUGUGAUAAAUAUAUUGAGGCAGCGCAGCACAGAGCUGCAC